CCUACGGGGAGCAGCAGUGGGGAAUAUUGGACAAUGGGCGAAAGCCUGAUCCAGCCAUGCCGCGUGUGUGAAGAAGGCCUUCGGGUUGUAAAGCACUUUCAGUGGGGAAGAAAGCCUUGGGGCUAAUACCCUCGAGGAAGGACAUCACCCACAGAAGAAGCACCGGCUAACUCCGUGCCAGCAGCCGCGGUAAUACGGAGGGUGCGAGCGUUAAUCGGAAUUACUGGGCGUAAAGCGCGCGUAGGCGGUCUGAUAAGCCGGUUGUGAAAGCCCCGGGCUCAACCUGGGAACGGCAUCCGGAACUGUCAGGCUAGAGUGCAGGAGAGGAAGGUAGAAUUCCCGGUGUAGCGGUGAAAUGCGUAGAGAUCGGGAGGAAUACCAGUGGCGAAGGCGGCCUUCUGGACUGACACUGACGCUGAGGUGCGAAAGCGUGGGUAGCAAACAGGAUUAGCUACCCUUGUAGUC
Molecule: ribosomal RNA, 465 nt
Filed under: Vreelandella stevensii
Lineage: Bacteria; Pseudomonadati; Pseudomonadota; Gammaproteobacteria; Oceanospirillales; Halomonadaceae
Description: partial 16S ribosomal RNA
Rfam family: Bacterial small subunit ribosomal RNA
Source: RNAcentral